UGAGGAAUAUUGGUCAAUGGGCGCAAGCCUGAACCAGCCAUCCCGCGUGAAGGAAGAAGGCCCUACGGGUUGUAAACUUCCUUUCUGUUUGAAGAACAAGCUCGUCGAGACGAGUGAUGCCGGUAGGACAGGAAUAAGCAUCGGCUAACUCCGUGCCAGCAGCCGCGGUAAUACGGAGGAUGCAAGCGUUAUCCGGAUUUAUUGGGUUUAAAGGGUGCGCAGGUGGUUUAAUAAGUCAGUGGUGAAAGUCUGGCGCUUAACGUUAGGAUUGCCAUUGAUACUGUUAGACUUGAAUAUGGAUGAGGUAGGCGGAAUGUGUAGUGUAGCGGCGAAAUGCUUAGAUAUUACACAGAACACCGAUUGCGAAGGCAGCUUACUAAUCCAUCAUUGACGCUGAGGCACGAAAGCGUGGGGAUCAAACAG
RNAcentral lists this ribosomal RNA (423 nucleotides) under uncultured bacterium. RNAcentral describes it as "bacterial SSU rRNA". It matches the Rfam family "Bacterial small subunit ribosomal RNA", at positions 355 to 775 of the family's 1533-position model. The record is from RNAcentral.